AAGUCACUUGUCGCUGCCGGUCGCUGCUAUACGUAUAUCUUAGUCGUUUUGAUCGUCCGCUUCUGGUACGAAGACAUCUGUUGGUGUGUUUCCUCGUCGUUCCCUUCUGCCAUGGCUGUUUCCGGUUCCGCAGAUUCGGCUACUUGAUGUGCAUCAUAAUUUGUAUCAUCGCCGAUGUCUUGUUCAUAUGCCGGUUCAUCAACGUCUCCCGAAAUGUCCUCUGCCGGAUCUGCUUUUUCUUCUUGUGGCAAGCCUAGUACAGGUAACAACAUCAGCAUCAUUUUCGACAUUUUCUUCUUCGUACGCUGGAUCGGGAUAAUCUGCUAUUUCUAGCGCUGCGCCAACGGCGUCACCGUCUGGUGCGGAACCUGGGUUAUCAGACUCCUGUGGAACAUAUGAUAACUGCUUCAAAUCGGGUGUUCCUUUUUCAUCCUUCGUCUUUAUUUUAUUUUACACAGUUGUGAAACAAAAAUGUUGUCCAUUCAGGGUUUACCAUCUUUUAAGCCGGUCUAUUACAGCAGUAGACAACGCUCGAGUACUACGGCGUACAAGAGUGUCCCACGUCUUACGAUGACAAUUGAUGACUCAUCCUAAACUGUUUAUCUCAAGUUGUUUUUUUCUUUUCAUGCAACGGCGCAGUCGCGUUAGUAAGUGUUAAGCUAUUUUUGGUUUUUGUUAGUUGGGUUAAGGUGAGUAAGUGUUUUGUUAAAUUAAGUUAGUGCAUGCAGGGUUAUGUUAUACAAACAGAGAGUUCACAUGGGAAACAGUGGGAGACAGUACAGUACAUGAAAAAGAGUGCAUGAACGAUUGAAGGGAUCUGAAAGGCAUUUAACCGGGAGCAGGAAUCAAACUCGGUACCUUUCGUAUCAACACUACAUGCCAUAACCAGUAGAUCAUAUCCUCAACGACAAUUGGCUAAGUGUUUUAUUAAUUUUUUAUGUGAGAUCAUUCAUCAUAAUCAUAAUGGUAGCUUAUUGGUAUAGGCGUUGACUGACGUUUCAGGUGUACGGGUUCGUUUCCAGGGAAGGCUCAUUAGGUAAUGCCCGACAUAAAUUAGACAAUUCUUUUCAUUUUUUUCAUUUGUUUUAUUUAAAACUUUUAUAUAACCUUAUUCAUACAUCGGAAAAUUUGAUCCCGCAAUUUAGGCAUGCGGGAUACCUAGGUUGCGGGAUGCAUCCCGCAUUCUAGGCAGGGCUAUCGCUAUGACACUAUCCCAAAUCCCGCUCCCCUCACUUUAGGCACACCCUCUAUUAUUUCUGCGUUCGUGUGGGUUCUGCAGCAACUGUGUCGUCGUCGGUGAAAAUUUCAAGUAGAGUUUUCGAGUUCCGGUCUUUUGGAAGUUUUACACAUGCGUGUUUCAUGUAGUGAGCAACUAAUGAUACCGGUCGCAUCUGGGGACUAAAUUCACAUGAAUGAACUCGACUCGUGUCGAUCUGUGCCGACGGCCUUUUUUAACCUGCACAAAAUUUCGAGACUGAAUCAGCCAGGGGAAAGUGCACAUAUGCAGGAGCAGCUGCCAUUCAGUUAGAUGCGACCCAGUUUUAUUCUUAAAUUCAGAGACAAGAUAUUUGAGUGGGAUUUCAGUCAUUCGACGUUGACCAAAGGACCGAAUCGUUUGGAUCUUUGCGUCCACAUAAAAUGACGAUGAUUUCCGUCCUAAUUGUUGUUUAUUUCUUUGCUGCUGCUGUUGCUCUGAACGAUAUCGUGACAACAGAAUCAUCGCAAUAUCCCGUCUAACCUAAUAAAUGGAGAAAUUCCUAGAAAGUGUUCUUUCCACAUCUUUUCACUUAACUACGACUACGGAAACUAUACCGAUCAGAGGGCACAAUUUUCCUGCUCGCACGUUAAUCUCACUAGCCCAGGAAGUUAUUUGAAAGUCACCAAUUCUUUAGAAAUGGACUAUGUAGAUGUGCCUGUAGUGAACCGAAUAUAUGUUUCAGAUAUCGCAAUGUAUCAACAGUACAUGAUAUCUCUCUAUUCCCUUUUCACCAUCGGCGAUCAGUUUGAAUGCAAUUGGGAACCAUAUGUACCUCCAACGAUUUCAAAAGUUGCCGUGACUCUUCAGCAACGACGGCUAAUGGAACCCUUCAACCAUUUACCGAUUAUGAUACGAAAAUUCCGAGAUGGUGCGAUUUUACUAUUCAAGUUUCCACUGAUCAUUCGGUUCAGUUUUCUUGUUCGGUCGUCAAUCUGACAACUUCUGGAAGUUCUUUGCAAUUGCGCGACUGGAACGGCGCUUUAAUUACUGAGCCACCCAUUACUAACCAGGGAUAUAUUUCAAAGAACUUCAUGAUGGUUGUGUCAGCGCGAUUUUUUUACCCAGAUUGGUUCAAUUGUCAAUGGAAAACCGUUCCGGUACCCUUGGUGAAAGAGCCGCAACAACCCAUUUUUCAAAUGUGUAAUAACGACCACGAAACUAGAUCUGUGAAUGGAACCCUUCAGCCCUUUAAGGCGUAUGCAACAGGACUCCACACCGUUGGAUGUCGUUUCUAUAUUUACGUACCUGUUGAUCAGCGAGUUCAAAUGACUUGCUCAGUAGUAAGAAUGCACCCUGGCUUCUUCGGUGAUGCGAGUUUUAUCAAUUUUUAUGAAAUGGACGGCACAGUUAUAUCUAUGCAGCCACUUGAGAACGAGGUUACACAUCCUUCGGCAACGUUUUGUAUGUGUGGUCAUUUUUCGGCUUCUCAGACUGGUUCGAGUGCAGCUGGACAACAAUAAUUCCUUCGCCGGUUCUUGUUACUUGUUCUAAUAAUAAAGUGUGCGGGCAGAUGUGUUCUAAUGUGACGUCAACGGGAGGGAUUGUACAGUCUCCAAACUUCCCUGAUGAUUAUGGGAAUUUUGACAUGGGCUGUGCAUUUAACAUUGACGUGCCAGUAGGAAAGACAGUCCAGUUGACAUUCAAUUCCUUCAAUUUGGAAACCAAUUAUGACUUUGUUUCUGUUUUUGACGGAACAACAUCCAUGAUUUUGUUGAACGAGGCAACCGGAAACACAAUUCCCUUGGAAGUAACCACAAAAUCUAAUAGGAUGAUAAUCAAGUUUACUACUUCCACCUUAUUUAGGAAAUCCUGGUAUCUAUGGAUGGCAGGCAACCUUCACUGCUAUGAAAGCAUCAACAGCUCUCUCGACUUCAUCGUCGACAACGGAACUCGCUCAAAUGUCGACAACCGCAAUAACAUCAAGUUUUGAGGAGACGGAGACAGCGACAGCGACCGCGACAGCGACAGCGAAAGCGAGCUCAGCAGAACCUAUUCCGACUUUCCAACCUUGCCACGACAAUUACACGACGUCGCUCAGAGGGAACCUCAAACAUCCAGCUAAUAAUGUUGAUCUGGAAAAUGUGAAAUCCUGCACUUUUAUUAUCGAUGUACCUACUGAUCGAUGGAACCACUUUUCAUGUUCAAUCGUUAACCUUGGCAAUACCAGUUCUUUAUUUCUAGACGGAUUAAUGGGAAAUGACUGGAAUAUCCCCGUAGAAAACGUUACUUAUACUUCAAAUUACGAUGACGUUUAUGUGCAUUUUCAAGUCUCUAAUUGUGAUGAGGUUGAUUGCGAAUGGACAACUAUUCCGGGAUUGGCGACGGCAGUGAGAAAUUUCAAAUUAUGCGGUGAGAGAUAUACAACGUCAUCUUAUGGGAGCAUUCAGCCUUUCACUGGAAAUUUCACAAUCGACGAAUUGAGACCAUGUAGUUUAAUCGUUGUCGUACCUCCUUUUCUACAUCUUGAAAUAUCUUGUCCGGUCAUCAACUUAUCGAAUCCUACUAGUUCAAUGCAACUAUUAGAAGCUCUCGAAAUGGAUUUAGGCCUACCAAUCGUAAACAGGAAAUAUUAUACUAAUGAGGGGUACAACGAUUUCUAUUCAAUUCUCGGCAAAUCUGAUUGGUUUGAGACUUUGAGUGCAAUUGGAUAGCGAUUCCAGUUUCCAAGGACCCGAAGGAUUUCAAACUUUGCGUAGACGGAAGUGCAGAAGUGUCUGAAGGGAUUAUUCGUCCUUUUCAUGAUGGAAUGAAAUUGCCGCGAACAUGUUCGUUUACCAUUCGUGAAUCUCCUAAUAAGCCCUUCACUUACAUUUAUUGCCCCACUGUUAAUCUAACUAGCCCUGGAAGUUAUUUGAAACUUCAUUCUACUUAUGAGGGCAACAUAAUUGCGAAUCCACCCAUCGCAAACCAGAUUUAUAGCAUACAACCAUCUAGUCAUUUUAUUAUAGUAGAUUCAAAAUUCAACGAUGUUGAUUUGUUCGAAUGCCGCUGGACUACAGAAGAAGUUCUCCUUCCUACUUUUCUACCCGUUAUUCAGCAGAAAACAACACCAACGAUAACACCUACACCAAGUACUACAGAUUCUGAAUUCUUUACUUCCAGAACAUUGACAGCAUCGAUAGUAGAGACCACUACCGUAUCGUGUGCAACUUGCAAAUCAAUUGGUGGAUCUUGCACGUUUUUAACUAUGACAAGCGGAACAAUCCAGUCGAUUAACUUCCCGAAUCAAGAUUACGCAAUAGGGGCUCGUAUUCCUGCCAACAAAACUUAUUUCGAAGCUUAUUUUUUCAUCGAAUCGCUUUGCGGUCGCAUUAAACUGACAUUCAACACGUUCAAUGUUCAACCAGGUGGCGACGUAAUUUUUGUUUACAAUGGCAAACCGGAUCCGCUUCCCAGUGGCGAAAGUGGCUAUAACACUCCACUUUUGUGGUCUUCGCUAUCUUUGUCUUAUGCUUCCGACUACAGUCAUUUCACGGAAUCCCCCCCUGUUAUCAUCGGUACAUCCAACAUAAUGACAAUUUUGUUUCUUGGUGAUACACCCGAGAACACAAAACUGAUGACAUCGCAACAACCGGCACGCUGGCAGGCGACAUACAAUAUUGCAUAAUUUUCUUUCUUUUUUUUUCAAAUAAGAUAUCAAGUUGUUCAACCUUUUUUUUACAUUUUCGCUUUUAUUAGUUAUAUCUUUCAAGCUGCUUAAAAGUAAAUAAACUUUUGGUUUCGGGCUACUGGAAAAAAACCCAAU
Molecule: long non-coding RNA, 5003 nt
Filed under: Daphnia pulex (common water flea)
Lineage: Eukaryota; Metazoa; Arthropoda; Branchiopoda; Diplostraca; Daphniidae
Description: uncharacterized LOC124209355, transcript variant X1
Source: RNAcentral